GCCUGAGUGGCUCAGUCGGUUAAGCGUCCGACUUCAGCUCAGGUCAUGAUCUCACGGUUCGUGGGUUCAAGCCCCGCAUCGGGCU
RNAcentral lists this transfer RNA (85 nucleotides) under Felis catus (domestic cat). It matches the Rfam family "tRNA". From Rfam's summary of the family: Transfer RNA (tRNA) molecules are approximately 80 nucleotides in length. Lineage: Eukaryota; Metazoa; Chordata; Mammalia; Carnivora; Felidae. The record is from Rfam by way of RNAcentral.